GGAGAGGUGGCCGAGUGGUCGAAGGCGCACGCCUGGAAAGUGUGUAUUGGGGAAACUCAAUCAUGGGUUCAAAUCCCAUCCUCUCCGCCA
This 90-nucleotide transfer RNA is filed under the name Youngiibacter multivorans. Its description in RNAcentral is "tRNA-Ser". It matches the Rfam family "tRNA". From Rfam's summary of the family: Transfer RNA (tRNA) molecules are approximately 80 nucleotides in length. Their secondary structure includes four short double-helical elements and three loops (D, anti-codon, and T loops). RNAcentral also lists the same sequence under 1 other name. The record is from RNAcentral. Lineage: Bacteria; Bacillati; Bacillota; Clostridia; Eubacteriales; Clostridiaceae.